Cervus hanglu yarkandensis (Yarkand deer) is the source of this 105-nucleotide small nuclear RNA. The record is from Ensembl. Lineage: Eukaryota; Metazoa; Chordata; Mammalia; Artiodactyla; Cervidae.
UUCUUAGUUUGGCGGUAGUAUACUAAAAUUGCAAGGAUACAGAGAGGAUUAGCAUGGCCACUUCCCAAGGUUGACAAACAAAUUCAUGAAGCGUUCCGUAUUUUU